GCAAGGGAUGCAGUAAGGGUUGUCCUCUGCCUGGAUGUACUUCCUGCCAUACAGAGACUCCUUGCAGUUGUCACAGUCAAAACGCUCGCUCAUGAUGAUCCGGAUUCAAGUCUGUUCCUGUAACACAGAAGCGCACGAGGCAUUUCCUACAUUUCAAAUGAUACAUAAACAUAGGACAUGUUUCUCGCAGGCCCCAGAAAGGAUCACCAACAGGGUUUAGAAGGUCUCAUCAUUCACCUAAGUCCAUUGUUAAGGGUCUACAUGCACAUUCCCUGAAGUAACCCACGAUUGUGAAAGAGAUGUCAAUGACCACCGUCAGCCUUCAGAAUGACUGUCAUUAAAUUAUCUCAACUGUUUUGCUAAACAACAACAUCUUAUGUAAGCCUGACAUCAACAACCACCUCUACAACCAGCUGU
Non-coding RNA from Misgurnus anguillicaudatus (oriental weatherfish), 417 nucleotides. The record is from RefSeq and is a predicted model, not a curated record. Lineage: Eukaryota; Metazoa; Chordata; Actinopteri; Cypriniformes; Cobitidae.